RNAcentral lists this ribosomal RNA (320 nucleotides) under uncultured Pseudomonas sp. RNAcentral describes it as "bacterial SSU rRNA". It matches the Rfam family "Bacterial small subunit ribosomal RNA", at positions 1060 to 1382 of the family's 1533-position model. The record is from RNAcentral. Lineage: Bacteria; Pseudomonadati; Pseudomonadota; Gammaproteobacteria; Pseudomonadales; Pseudomonadaceae.
UCGUGUCGUGAGAUGUUGGGUUAAGUCCGUAACGAGCGCAACCCUUGUCCUUAGUUACCAGCACGUUAUGGUGGCACUCUAAGGAGACUGCCGGUGACAAACCGGAGGAAGUGGGGAUGACGUCAAGUCAUCAUGGCCCUUACGGCCUGGGCUACACACGUGCUACAAUGGUCGGUACAAAGGGUUGCCAAGCCGCGAGGUGGAGCUAAUCCCAUAAAACCGAUCGUAGUCCGGAUCGCAGUCUGCAACUCGACUGCGUGAAGUCGGAAUCGCUAGUAAUCGUGAAUCAGAAUGUCACGGUGAAUACGUUCCCGGGCCUU